UGAAAGGCUGCCCUGGCCCUGAUGGAUGGGCCGGAAGGCGGUGGUGUCUGGCUGGAAGCUGGAGAGGGGCCUACUUGGCGGUGCUGCGCUGGGCAAGGCGCGGGUCCAGGAGGGGCGGUAUCCACUGCACGGUCAGCCCGCGGGUGUCUGAGUCUCCGACCGCUGGGCUUCGCCUGGCCUUUCCAUCAGCCUGGUCCCUCGUCUGGUCUUCCCUGUAGUUCCUCCUUUUGAUCAGUGAGGCUCCCUCUCAGAGGUUGUCGGCUGCGGGGCAGGGGUGGUAAACUCGGAUUCCAGUCACUCUUCCAGUAGGUCCCAGUUCCCCUCCUGUCUGCAGCCUGGCGCCUCCUUGCGACGGUCCCAGGCCUGGGGAGGAUAGGGCUCAGGAUCAGAUGCGCAUGCGCGCUGCGGCCUGUACGUGUGUAGACAGUUCUGGGGUGGGGUGGGGGUAGGGUUUGGUCCAGUGCCCACAGUGGUCUUGCGGGGGAUGGAUGAAGCACCUACUGAGUUUAAGGAAAGUUGCAAUGCUCAGCUCCUGCAGAGGGCCAGGCUGUCUGCAUGUAAAAAGCCUUGGGCUCUCUGGGCUCUCUGUCUGUCAUUCAAUGUCCCGGGGACUAGGAAUGCAACACAGCAAGUGUGUAUAUUUCUCUAGGUUAUUGAAAUAAGUAAACACACUUGCAAGGGGAAGGAUAGUCCCAGGGUCCUUGGUACCUUUCUCAGGCCCUCCAACCCCAGGCCAAAUUCCAAAUCCUCAGGCCUGGGCUUGUCUCCCUGUGUUUAAGCUUCGGAACCAUUGGCAUUCAUGGGUGUCUUUGACCUUCAAGGCCGCCCGUUGGUGCAGAGAUAAGAGGCCUGGAGAAGGGGUCACACAGGGAGAGAGACAGCCCUGGAAGGCUGGUCUGCAGCCACCCUGUCUCCUUUUGGAGAAGGAUCACCAAAGACAUGGCACAUCCUAAGAGACACCCUGGGGAGCCCCCUGCCAAAUGCAGAACUGCGUGGACCCCGGAGAUGUAAAUUCCCAGCAAGAAGGCAGACCACAGGAGGACGAUUGCGACCCCCGUUUCCCCGCUCUGCAUGUUGCUCUGGACUCAGAAGGGUCUGGUCCCUGGGAGAUGGGCAGCCCCAGCAGGAGCGCACUCUUCUCCCACUGCCUCUGGGAUGAGACGCUGCCAUUCCUCAGGGACCACGACAGUGUUUGGCUUCCAGUGACUCAGCAUCUUCUGUGGGGAGCGGCUGAGCUGGAGAUCGGCCGACCGCACAUCCAGGGCUACAGCAAGACCAGCCCUGAGAACAUGGAGCGCCAGAGGCGAGCCCCGUGAACAGGUUGUUGGGACUGAGGCAAAGCCAGUCCCUGGACACGGGCUGCCGGAGGCAGACUGUGCAAAUAAGUUGACCUCUAGCUCAGUGGAAUAUCAGCAGGUGUCCCGCCUUGGUGUUCCUCCCUGUUAAAUACAGCACAGAUAGCUCUGAAAAUGUUUCACUCUCCAUGUUCUCAGCAAAACACUGAGAUCUUGCCCUUGCUCCUCCGUUGCGCGCUUGCCCCCUUUUUACUAUGUAUAAAUAAAGACAAAGACCGUGCUCUUCAUCAGAGAGAUCAGGUCCCACCCAGUCCCAGCUUUCCUUUUAUUAUGUGUCUUGUCUUUUCUUAAUCUCCCGUCGCCCCCUCUCAGGACCCCACUGGCCUCCUGAGUCGCAGCAAUCUUCAG
This is a long non-coding RNA of Chinchilla lanigera (long-tailed chinchilla), 1703 nucleotides long. NCBI's taxonomy places the organism in Eukaryota, Metazoa, Chordata, Mammalia, Rodentia, Chinchillidae. The record is from Ensembl.